RNAcentral lists this ribosomal RNA (300 nucleotides) under uncultured Thermotoga sp. RNAcentral describes it as "partial 16S ribosomal RNA". It matches the Rfam family "Bacterial small subunit ribosomal RNA", at positions 497 to 795 of the family's 1533-position model. Lineage: Bacteria; Thermotogati; Thermotogota; Thermotogae; Thermotogales; Thermotogaceae. The record is from RNAcentral.
CGUAACACGUGACAGGGAGCGGGGGGAGGACUGGGGGGUCAAGCGUUAUUCGGAAUGACGGGGCGGAAAGCGCACGCAGGCGGCCUGUCAAGGCAGAUGUGAAAUCCCCGGGCGCAACCUGGGAACUGCAUUCGAAACGGGCAGGCUAGAGUCUUGGAGAGGGGGGUAGAAUUCCAGGUGUAGCGGUGAAAUGCGUAGAGAUCUGGAGGAAUACCGGUGGAGAAGGCGGCCCCCUGGACAAAGACUAACGCUCAGGUGCGAAAGCGUGGGGAGCAAACAGGAUUAGAUACCCUGGUAGUC